RNAcentral lists this non-coding RNA (21 nucleotides) under Rattus norvegicus (Norway rat). Lineage: Eukaryota; Metazoa; Chordata; Mammalia; Rodentia; Muridae. The record is from RNAcentral.
CGUUUGAAAAGUGCAACUUAA